This 429-nucleotide ribosomal RNA is filed under the name uncultured soil bacterium. Its description in RNAcentral is "bacterial SSU rRNA". It matches the Rfam family "Bacterial small subunit ribosomal RNA", at positions 26 to 491 of the family's 1533-position model. The record is from RNAcentral.
AGAACGAACGCUGGCGGCAUGCCUAACACAUGCAAGUCGAACGAGACCUUCGGGUCUAGUGGCGCACGGGUGCGUAACGCGUGGGAAUCUGCCCUUGGGUUCGGGAUAACAGUUGGAAACGACUGCUAAUACCGGAUGAUGACUUCGGUCCAAAGAUUUAUUGCCCAGGGAUGAGCCCGCGUAGGAUUAGCUAGUUGGUGAGGUAAAGGCUCACCAAGGCGACGAUCCUUAGCUGGUCUGAGAGGAUGAUCAGCCACACUGGGACUGAGACACGGCCCAGACUCCUACGGGAGGCAGCAGGUACGGGGAAUAUUGGACAAUGGGACGAAAGCCUGAUCCAGCAAUGCCGCGUGAGUGAUGAAGGCCUUAAGGUGUAAAGCUUCUUUACCGGGUAGUAGACGUAAUAGUACGAGUACCGGUAGACGUAAA